This 500-nucleotide ribosomal RNA is filed under the name uncultured bacterium. Its description in RNAcentral is "partial 16S ribosomal RNA". It matches the Rfam family "Bacterial small subunit ribosomal RNA", at positions 30 to 523 of the family's 1533-position model. The record is from RNAcentral.
AUUGAACGCUGGCGGCAUGCCUUACACAUGCAAGUCGAACGGCAGCGCGGACUUCGGUCUGGCGGCGAGUGGCGAACGGGUGAGUAAUACAUCGGAACGUACCCUGUUGUGGGGGAUAACUAGUCGAAAGAUUAGCUAAUACCGCAUACGACCUGAGGGUGAAAGUGGGGGACCGCAAGGCCUCACGCAGCAGGAGCGGCCGAUGUCUGAUUAGCUAGUUGGUGGGGUAAAGGCCCACCAAGGCGACGAUCAGUAGCUGGUCUGAGAGGACGAUCAGCCACACGGGGACUGAGACACGGCCCAGACUCCUACGGGAGGCAGCAGUGGGGAAUUUUGGACAAUGGGGGCAACCCUGAUCCAGCAAUGCCGCGUGUGUGAAGAAGGCCUUCGGGUUGUAAAGCACUUUUGUCCGGAAAGAAAUCUCGCUGGUUAAUACCUGGCGUGGAUGACGGUACCGGAAGAAUAAGCACCGGCUAACUACGUGCCAGCCGCCGCCGUAA